GACGAACGCUGGCGGCGUGCUUAACACAUGCAAGUCGAACGGAAAGGCCCUGCUUUUGUGGGGUGCUCGAGUGGCGAACGGGUGAGUAACACGUGAGUAACCUGCCCUUGACUUUGUGAUAACUUCAGGAAACUGGGGCUAAUACCGGAUAGGAGCUCCUGCUGCAUGGUGGGGGUUGGAAAGUUUCGGCGGUUGUGGAUGGACUCGCGGCUUAUCAGCUUGUUGGUGGGGUAGUGGUUUACCAAGGCUUUGACGGGUAGCCGGCCUGAGAGGGUGACCGGCGACAUUGGGACUGAGAUACGGCCCAGACGCCAACGGGAGGCAGCAGUGGGGAGUAUGGCAGAAUGGGCGGAAGCGUGAUGCAGAAACGCCGCGUGCGGGAUGACGGCCUUCGGGUUGUAAACCGCUUUCGCCGGUGACGAAGCGUGAGUGACGGUAAUGGGUAAAGAAGCACCGGCUAACUACGUG
This 468-nucleotide ribosomal RNA is filed under the name uncultured bacterium. Its description in RNAcentral is "partial 16S ribosomal RNA". It matches the Rfam family "Bacterial small subunit ribosomal RNA", at positions 28 to 507 of the family's 1533-position model. The record is from RNAcentral.